This 496-nucleotide ribosomal RNA is filed under the name uncultured bacterium. Its description in RNAcentral is "partial 16S ribosomal RNA". It matches the Rfam family "Bacterial small subunit ribosomal RNA", at positions 28 to 506 of the family's 1533-position model. The record is from RNAcentral.
GAUGAACGCUGGCGGCGUGCCUAAUACAUGCAAGUCGAGCGAACAGACGAGGAGCUUGCUCCUCUGACGUUAGCGGCGGACGGGUGAGUAACACGUGGAUAACCUACCUAUAAGACUGGGAUAACUUCGGGAAACCGGAGCUAAUACCGGAUAAUAUAUUGAACCGCAGGGUUCAAUAGUGAAAGACGGUUUUGCUGUCACUUAUAGAUGGAUCCGCGCCGCAUUAGCUAGUUGGUAAGGUAACGGCUUACCAAGGCAACGAUGCGUAGCCGACCUGGGAGGGGGAUCGGCCACACUGGAACUGAGCCACGGCCCAGCUCCCUACGGGAGGCAGCAGUAGGGAAUCUGCCGCAAGGGGCGAAAGCCUGACGGAGCAACGCCGCGUGAGUGAUGAAGCUCUUCGGAUCGUAAAACUCUGUUAUUAGGGAAGAACAAAUGUGUAAGUAACGAUGCACGUCUGGACGGUACCUAAUCAGAAAGCCACGGCUAACUACGU